CCUACGGGUGGCAGCAGUGAGGAAUAUUGGUCAAUGGGCGCAAGCCUGACCCAGCAACGUCGCGUGAAGGAUGAAGGCCCUCUGGUUUGUAAACUCUUUUAGUGAGGAAGUAACGACUGACACGUGUGGCUGGAUAGAGAGCAGCUAAAUACGUGGCAUCAGCCGCGGUAGUGCGGAGGUGGGAAGCGUUAUGGGGAUUUAGUGGGUGUAAAGGGUGUAUAGGGGGGAAUGGAAGGGAGAUGGGAAAAUCAUGGGCUCAACCCACGGCCUGCAUUUGAAACUGUAGUUCUUGAGUGAGGGAGAGGCAGGCGGAAUUCCGGGUGUAGCGGUGAAAUGCGUAGAUAUAAGGAGGAACACCGGUGGCGAAGGCAGCCUGCUGGACAUUAACUGACGCUGAGGCGCGAAAGCGUGGGGAGCAAACAGGAUUAGAUACCCUUGUAGUC
RNAcentral lists this ribosomal RNA (443 nucleotides) under uncultured bacterium. RNAcentral's name for it is "partial 16S ribosomal RNA". It matches the Rfam family "Bacterial small subunit ribosomal RNA", at positions 338 to 795 of the family's 1533-position model. The record is from RNAcentral.